This 1435-nucleotide ribosomal RNA is filed under the name Xenogma rhomboidale. RNAcentral's name for it is "SSU rRNA". It matches the Rfam family "Eukaryotic small subunit ribosomal RNA", at positions 282 to 1731 of the family's 1831-position model. Lineage: Eukaryota; Metazoa; Bryozoa; Gymnolaemata; Cheilostomatida; Buffonellodidae. The record is from RNAcentral.
AGCCGGCGACACCUUCACUGAGUUUCUGAUCUAUCAUGCUGACGACGGUUGGUGCUAUGCCAACCGUGGCGUUAACGGAUAACAGAGAAUCUGGGUUCGAUUCUGGAGAGGCCGCAUGAGAAACGGCGACCACUUCUAAGGAAGGCAGCAGGCACGCAAAUUACCCACUUCGGACACCGAGAGGUAGUGACGAACAAUACCGAUGCGGCGCACUUACGUGUCGCCGUAAUCGGAAUGAGUACACUUCAAAUCCUUUAACGAGGAUCCACUGGAGGGCAAGCCUGGUGCCAGCAGCCGCGGUAAUUCCAGCUCCAGCAGCGUAUAUUUAUAUUGCUGCGUUUAAAAAGCUCGUAGUUGAAGCGUCAGACGCGGGAGGGCGGACGGCCGUACUGGUCGCUCUCGCCCGACCGAGCCAGGCGCAGAGGGCGCGCGUCGCUUGCACUUCGCCGUGUGAGCGCGCCGCCGCUGCACGUUCACCUUGAAGAAAUUGAACCGCUUAGAGGGGGCGAGCAGCUUGUACAGCUCAGCAUGGUAUGAUGGAACAUGGGCUCGUACUCAUUUUGUUGGUUAGAGAGUUGGCGAGCCAAUGAUUAACAGGGACUGCCGGGGGCAUUCGUACUCGGACGGGAGAGGUGAAAUUCAAGGAUCGUCCGAAGACGCCCUACUGCGAAAGCAUUUGCCAAGAAUGUUUUCAUUAAUCAAGAACGAAAGUCAGAGGUGCGAAGGCGAUCAGAUACCGCCGUAGUUCUGACCGUAAACGUUGCCGACUGGCAAUUGGGCGCACUUCUAUAGAAGUUGCCGCCAGCAGUAUUUCCCGGGAAACCAAAGUCAUUGGGUUCCGGGGGGAGUAUGGUUGCAAAGCUGAAACUUAAAGGAAUUGACGGAAGGGCACCACCAGGAGUGGAGCCUGCGGCUUAAUUUGACUCAACACGGGAAACCUCACCCGGCCCGAACACUGUUAUGACAGACAGGUUGAGAGCUCUUUCUCGAUUCAGUGGUUGGUGGUGCAUGGCCGUUCUUAGUUCGUGGAGCGAUCUGUCUGGUUAAUUCCGAUAACGAACGAGACUCUUGCCUGCUAAAUAGACGGCGCCGUCACCGACGGCGACCGUUCGCUUCUUAGAGGGACAAGCGGCUUUUAGCCGCGUGAAGCCGAGAGCAAUAACAGGUCAGUGAUGCCCUCAGAUGUUCGGGGCCGCACGCGCGCUACACUGUUUGCAUCAGCGUGUUUCUCCCGCGCCGGCUGGCGUGGGCAACCCGUUGAACCGCAAACGUGCUAGGGAUCGGAGAUUGCAAUUGUUCUCCGUGAACGAGGAAUUCCUUGUACUGGCGAGUCAUCAGCUCGCGGGGAAUCUGUCCCUGCCCUUUGUACACACCGCCCGUCGCUACUACCGAUUGAGUGGUUUAGUGAGGCUCACGGACUGCGCGCGGCACACGG